GCCUUGAAGCGGGGGUACCGCGGCCCAGGGCCGGCGGUUGAGACAGUCCCUUCGAACCUGAUGCGGUUGACACCGCCGUAGGGAAGCUUCGCCGGACACGGC
RNAcentral lists this non-coding RNA (102 nucleotides) under Lysobacter capsici. RNAcentral describes it as "TPP sequence". It matches the Rfam family "TPP riboswitch aptamer (THI element)". From Rfam's summary of the family: Vitamin B(1) in its active form thiamin pyrophosphate (TPP) is an essential coenzyme that is synthesised by coupling of pyrimidine and thiazole moieties in bacteria. The previously detected thiamin-regulatory element, thi box was extended, resulting in a new, highly conserved RNA secondary structure, the THI element, which is widely distributed in eubacteria and also occurs in some archaea. The record is from RNAcentral. Lineage: Bacteria; Pseudomonadati; Pseudomonadota; Gammaproteobacteria; Lysobacterales; Lysobacteraceae.